AACGCACAUUGCGCCCACUGGUAUUCCGGUGGGCAUGCCUGUUCGAGCGUCAUUAUCCUCUCUCUCAUCCCCCGUGAUGUGAUGUUGGGCUACAAACUCGCAAGAGAUUGGGCCUCAAAAAUAAUGACGGUGUUCAUAGGACCCUCUGAUACAACGAGCUUUCGGGCACGUAUCAGGUACGGGACACUAUACAUUGGUCUUAACCCCAUUUUAUCAAGGUUGACCUCGGAUCAGGUAGGAAUACCCGCUGAACUUAA
Molecule: unclassified non-coding RNA, 257 nt
Filed under: uncultured fungus
Lineage: Eukaryota; Fungi
Description: partial contains 5.8S ribosomal RNA, internal transcribed spacer 2, and large subunit ribosomal RNA
Rfam family: 5.8S ribosomal RNA (bases 1-52)
Source: RNAcentral